RNAcentral lists this ribosomal RNA (490 nucleotides) under uncultured bacterium. Its description in RNAcentral is "partial 16S ribosomal RNA". It matches the Rfam family "Bacterial small subunit ribosomal RNA", at positions 30 to 507 of the family's 1533-position model. The record is from RNAcentral.
AUUGAACGCUGGCGGCAUGCCUUACACAUGCAAGUCGAACGGCAGCAUGAUCUAGCUUGCUAGAUUGAUGGCGAGUGGCGCACGGGUGAGUAAUACAUCGGAACGUGCCCUGUAGUGGGGGAUAACUAGUCGAAAGAUUAGCUAAUACCGCAUACGACCUGAGGGUGAAAGUGGGGGACCGCAAGGCCUCAUGCUAUAGGAGCGGCCGAUGUCUGAUUAGCUAGUUGGUGAGGUAAAGGCUCACCAAGGCGACGAUCAGUAGCUGGUCUGAGAGGACGAUCAGCCACACUGGGACUGAGACACGGCCCAGACUCCUACGGGAGGCAGCAGUGGGGAAUUUUGGACAAUGGGCGAAAGCCUGAUCCAGCAAUGCCGCGUGUGUGAAGAAGGCCUUCGGGUUGUAAAGCACUUUUGUCAGGAAAGAAAAGGCGCUGGUUAAUACCUGGAGUCGAUGACGGUACCGGAAGAAUAAGGACCGGCUAACUACGUG